AUUGAACGCUGGCGGCAGGCCUAACACAUGCAAGUCGAACGGUAGCACAGAGAGCUUGCUCUCGGGUGACGAGUGGCGGACGGGUGAGUAGCGUCUGGGAAACUGCCCGAUGGAGGGGGAUAACUACUGGAAACGGUAGCUAAUACCGCAUAACGUCGCAAGACCAAAGUGGGGGAUCUUCGGGCCUCACACCAUCGGAUGUGCCCAGAUGGGAUUAGCUAGCAGGGGGGGUAAUGGCUCACCUAGGCGACGAUCCCUAGCUGGUCUGAGAGGAUGACCAGCCAACCUGGAACUGUGACACGGUCCAGACUCCUACGGGAGGCAGCAGUGGGAAUAUUGCACAAUGGGCGCAAGCCUGAUGCAGCCAUGCCGCGUGUAUGAAGAAGGCCUUCGGGUUGUAAAGUACUUUCAGCGGGGAGGAAGGCGGUGAAGUUAAUAACUUCACCGAUUGACGUUACCCGCAGAAGAAGCACCGGCUAACUCCGUGCCAGCCGCCGCCGUAA
Molecule: ribosomal RNA, 503 nt
Filed under: uncultured bacterium
Lineage: Bacteria
Description: partial 16S ribosomal RNA
Rfam family: Bacterial small subunit ribosomal RNA
Source: RNAcentral